UACGGAGGGUGCAAGCGUUAUCCGGAUUCACUGGGUUUAAAGGGAGCGUAGGCGGGCAUGUAAGUCAGUGGUGAAAUCUCCGGGCUUAACUCGGAAACUGCCAUCGAUACUAUAUGUCUUGAAUUAUCUGGAGGUUAGCGGAAUAUGUCAUGUAGCGGUGAAAUGCUUAGAUAUGACAUAGAACACCCAUUGCGAAGGCAGCUAACUACGGGUAUAUUGACGCUGAGGCUCGAAAGCGUGGGGAUCAAACAGG
Molecule: ribosomal RNA, 253 nt
Filed under: uncultured bacterium
Lineage: Bacteria
Description: partial 16S ribosomal RNA
Rfam family: Bacterial small subunit ribosomal RNA
Source: RNAcentral